CACUCGUUCGCCGCAACCCUAUUUCUCGGAUGACUUGUGAAUCUCACAGGUCAGAAGACUUACGAUGCAUGACGUAGAGAAAAAUGCAGUCUGUAGGGGGUGGCCCUUGCAUGCCUGCAGGUCGACGAUUGUUAUCGGUGUCCGAGGAAACUGCCACGAUCAACGUGGAGGAAGGUGGGGAUGACGUCAAGUCAGCACGGCCCUUACGUCCUGGGCUACACACACGCUACAAUGGCGAUGACAACGAGUUGCCAACCCGCAAGGGGGAGCUAAUCUCAGCAAACAUCGUCUCAGUUCAGAUUGUAGGCUGCAACCCGCCUGCAUGAAGUUGGAGUUGCUAGUAACCGUGAGUCAGCACAUCACGGUGAAUCCGUUCCC
Molecule: ribosomal RNA, 378 nt
Filed under: uncultured bacterium
Lineage: Bacteria
Description: bacterial SSU rRNA
Rfam family: Bacterial small subunit ribosomal RNA
Source: RNAcentral